GGGCCGUUAGCUCAAUCGGUAGAGCACCGGUCUCCAAAACCGGGGGUUGGAGGUUCGAGUCCUCCACGGUCUGCCA
RNAcentral lists this transfer RNA (76 nucleotides) under Thermus caliditerrae. Its description in RNAcentral is "tRNA-Trp". It matches the Rfam family "tRNA". Rfam says of the family: Transfer RNA (tRNA) molecules are approximately 80 nucleotides in length. Lineage: Bacteria; Thermotogati; Deinococcota; Deinococci; Thermales; Thermaceae. The record is from RNAcentral. RNAcentral also lists the same sequence under 1 other name.